RNAcentral lists this transfer RNA (73 nucleotides) under Paramuricea clavata. It matches the Rfam family "tRNA". Rfam says of the family: Transfer RNA (tRNA) molecules are approximately 80 nucleotides in length. Their secondary structure includes four short double-helical elements and three loops (D, anti-codon, and T loops). Lineage: Eukaryota; Metazoa; Cnidaria; Anthozoa; Malacalcyonacea; Plexauridae. The record is from Rfam by way of RNAcentral.
GACCGCGUAGCUCAGUUGGAAGAGCAUUGGGCUAGUAUUCCAAAGGUCGUAGGUUCGAAUUCCACCGUAGCCG